RNAcentral lists this small nuclear RNA (307 nucleotides) under Erinaceus europaeus (western European hedgehog). RNAcentral describes it as "7SK RNA". It matches the Rfam family "7SK RNA". From Rfam's summary of the family: 7SK was discovered as an abundant small nuclear RNA in the mid-70s but a possible function has only recently been suggested. Two independent studies have found that 7SK RNA binds the CDK9/cyclin T complex (known as elongation factor P-TEFb). Lineage: Eukaryota; Metazoa; Chordata; Mammalia; Eulipotyphla; Erinaceidae. The record is from Rfam by way of RNAcentral.
GGAUGUGAGAGUGAUCUGGCUGAGACAACUGUCACUCCAUUGAUUGUUAGGGUUGAUUUGGCUGAUGUGACUGGCUAGGCGGGUGUCUCCUUUCUCCCUCACCACUCCAUGUGCGUCCCUCCCUAAGUUGUAUGCUAGGUCCAAGAGGACUGGUCUUCAGUCGAGGGUAUACGAGUAGCUGCACUCCCCUGCUAGAACCUCCAAACAAGCUCUCCAGUGGUGCUGAAUACAAAGAAAGGUGAUGCUGUGCAUUCUCACUCACUUUUUUUCUUUGCCUCCUCAUUGACCAAGUGCUUUAAAUGUAAGU